AUUUUUUCCCGACUUAUAUGAUCCUUUAUAUGCAUAUACAAGAAAGUUGAAAAUGUUUCUUAUUUGCUUUCUGCCUCUGAUCCUUGUUUCCCCACUCUGGGCUUGCUACGUAUGUUGCAUUGCUUAGGAAGAGGUGUCAUGAAUCUACCCAGCUGAGCUUGAGCAGUAUUGUGAGUAAUGCAGGUAGAAAAUAUACCUACUGCAAAAGCCUCCUUCAUAGUUGACAAAAAGGGCAUUGAGCCAAUGUACAGGAAAUAUUUCUCUGCUAUUGAUUGUGACAGUAGUGGAAGUCUCAAGAAGGUGGAAGCACAGUGUGAUUACCUUUCUCUCCCCAGUAUUUUUUCUGCAGUUUUGAUUAGGAAAUAUCUGGGCUUCAGGUUCCUUGAUUGAUAGUUACGAGACUAAAACAAUAAAGUAUAAAACUUGGAAACUUUUUGAACUCUC
Molecule: long non-coding RNA, 444 nt
Filed under: Struthio camelus australis
Lineage: Eukaryota; Metazoa; Chordata; Aves; Struthioniformes; Struthionidae
Description: lncRNA (ENSSCUG00000017262.1)
Source: RNAcentral